UACGUAGGUGACAAGCGUUGUCCGGAUUUACUGGGCGUAAAGAGCGCGCAGGCGGUCGAUCAAGUCGAGUGUGAAAGCCCCCGGCUCAACUGGGGAGGGUCAUUCGAUACUGAUCGACUCGAAGGCAGGAGAGGGUAGUGGAAUUCCCGGUGUAGUGGUGAAAUGCGUAGAUAUCGGGAGGAACACCAGUGGCGAAGGCGGCACUCUGGGCCAGUACUGACGCUGAGGAGCGAAAGCGUGGGGAGCGAACAGG
RNAcentral lists this ribosomal RNA (253 nucleotides) under uncultured bacterium. RNAcentral's name for it is "partial 16S ribosomal RNA". It matches the Rfam family "Bacterial small subunit ribosomal RNA", at positions 524 to 776 of the family's 1533-position model. The record is from RNAcentral.